CCGUACCCGAAACCGACACAGGUGGUCAGGUAGAGUAUACCAAGGCGCUUGAGAGAAGUAUCCUGAAGGAACUCGGCAAAUUGCCUCCGUACCUUCGGAAGAAGGAGGCCC
This 111-nucleotide ribosomal RNA is filed under the name Umezakia ovalisporum. Its description in RNAcentral is "Chrysosporum ovalisporum partial 23S ribosomal RNA". It matches the Rfam family "Bacterial large subunit ribosomal RNA", at positions 1642 to 1752 of the family's 2925-position model. Lineage: Bacteria; Bacillati; Cyanobacteriota; Cyanophyceae; Nostocales; Nodulariaceae. The record is from RNAcentral.